RNAcentral lists this ribosomal RNA (322 nucleotides) under uncultured Bacillota bacterium. RNAcentral's name for it is "bacterial SSU rRNA". It matches the Rfam family "Bacterial small subunit ribosomal RNA", at positions 28 to 351 of the family's 1533-position model. The record is from RNAcentral. Lineage: Bacteria; Bacillati; Bacillota.
GACGAACGCUGGCGGCGUGCCUAACACAUGCAAGUCGAGCGGAGAUUGCAGUAAUGUAAUCUUAGCGGCGGACGGGUGAGUAACGCGUGGGCAACCUGCCUAUAACUGGGGGAUAACACAGGGAAACUUGUGCUAAUACCGCAUAACAUCAUGAAAGGACAUCCUUUUAUGAUCAAAGGAGCAAUCCGGUGAUAGAUGGGCCCGCGUCCGAUUAGCUAGUUGGUGAGGUAAUGGCCCACCAAGGCGACGAUCGGUAGCCGAACUGAGAGGUUGAUCGACCACAUUGGGACUGAGACACGGCCCAGACUCCUACGGGAGGCAG